RNAcentral lists this ribosomal RNA (232 nucleotides) under uncultured bacterium. RNAcentral's name for it is "partial 16S ribosomal RNA". It matches the Rfam family "Bacterial small subunit ribosomal RNA", at positions 118 to 346 of the family's 1533-position model. The record is from RNAcentral.
UGAGGAACAUGACCUUCGGCGGGGGGAUAGCCGGCCCCAACGGCCGGGUAAUACCGCGUACGACCACAUGGGGACAUCCCUGAGUGGUGAAAGCAGCAAUGCGCCGAUGGAGUGCCUCGCGGCCUAUCAGCUAGUUGGUGAGGUAACGGCUCACCAAGGCGACGACGGGUAGCUGGUCUGAGAGGAUGGCCAGCCACAUUGGGACUGAGACACGGCCCAGACCUNUACGGGA